Molecule: transfer RNA, 38 nt
Filed under: Canis lupus (wolf)
Lineage: Eukaryota; Metazoa; Chordata; Mammalia; Carnivora; Canidae
Description: partial tRNA-Leu
Source: RNAcentral
ACUUUUAUAGGAUAGAAGUAAUCCGUUGGUCUUAGGAA